AUACGGAGGAUGCGAGCGUUAUCCGGAUUUAUUGGGUUUAAAGGGAGCGUAGGCGGGAGCUUAAGUCAGCGGUUAAAUGGUGCGGCUCAACCGUGCCCUGCCGUUGAAACUGGGUUUCUUGAGAGUGCAAGAGGCGGAUGGAAUUCAUGGUGUAGCGGUGAAAUGCUUAGAUAUCAUGAAGAACUCCGAUUGCGAAGGCAGUCCGCUGGGGCACGUCUGACGCUGAUGCUCGAAGGUGCGGGAAUCAAACAGGAUUAGAUACCCUGGUAGUCCGCACGGUAAACGAUGAUUACCCGCUGUCGGCGGUAGACAGUCGGCGGCCAAGCGAAAGCGAUAAGUAUCCACCUGGGGAGUACGCCGGCAACGGUGAAACUCAAAUGAAUUGACGGGG
RNAcentral lists this ribosomal RNA (391 nucleotides) under uncultured bacterium. Its description in RNAcentral is "partial 16S ribosomal RNA". It matches the Rfam family "Bacterial small subunit ribosomal RNA", at positions 523 to 918 of the family's 1533-position model. The record is from RNAcentral.